RNAcentral lists this small RNA (74 nucleotides) under Formosa agariphila KMM 3901. Its description in RNAcentral is "Flavo-1 RNA". It matches the Rfam family "Flavo-1 RNA". The record is from Rfam by way of RNAcentral. Lineage: Bacteria; Pseudomonadati; Bacteroidota; Flavobacteriia; Flavobacteriales; Flavobacteriaceae.
UUUUUGCGUUAGGGAUUGCAGUGAAAAUCCUUUUGCUUUUUUGCAAAAGAUUGUAACGGAAAGCGCGCCCCUUG